AGUGAACGCUGGCGGUAGGCCUAACACAUGCAAGUCGAACGGCAGCACAGUAAGAGCUUGCUCUUACGGGUGGCGAGUGGCGGACGGGUGAGGAAUACAUCGGAAUCUACUUUUUCGUGGGGGAUAACGUAGGGAAACUUACGCUAAUACCGCAUACGACCUACGGGUGAAAGCAUGGGAUCUUCGGACCUUGCGCGAUUGAAUGAGCCGAUGUCGGAUUAGCUAGUUGGCGGGGUAAAGGCCCACCAAGGCGACGAUCCGUAGCUGGUCUGAGAGGAUGAUCAGCCACACUGGAACUGAGACACGGUCCAGACUCCUACGGGAGGCAGCAGUGGGGAAUAUUGGACAAUGGGCGCAAGCCUGAUCCAGCCAUACCGCGUGGGUGAAGAAGGCCUUCGGGUUGUAAAGCCCUUUUGUUGGGAAAGAAAAGCAGCAGGUUAAUACCCCGCUGUUCUGACGGUACCCCAAGAAUAAGCACCGGCUAACUUCGUG
Molecule: ribosomal RNA, 492 nt
Filed under: uncultured bacterium
Lineage: Bacteria
Description: partial 16S ribosomal RNA
Rfam family: Bacterial small subunit ribosomal RNA
Source: RNAcentral